AGAGUUUGAUCAUGGCUCAGGAUGAACGCUGGCGGCGUGCCUAACACAUGCAAGUCGAGCGAUCUUCUUCGGAAGAGAGCGGCGGACGGGUGAGUAACGCGUGGGUAACCUGCCUCAUACACAUGGAUAACAUACCGAAAGGUAUGCUAAUACAAGAUGAUAUAAGAGAUUCGCAUGGAUUUCUUAUCAAAGCUCCGGCGGUAUGAGAUGGACCCGCGUCUGAUUAGCUAGUUGGUAAGGUAACGGCUUACCAAGGCGACGAUCAGUAGCCGACCUGAGAGGGUGAUCGGCCACAUUGGAACUGAGACACGGUCCAAACUCCUACGGGAGGCAGCAGUGGGGAAUAUUGCACAAUGGGCGAAAGCCUGAUGCAGCAACGCCGCGUGAGCGAUGAAGGCCUUCGGGUCGUAAAGCUCUGUCCUCAAGGAAGAUAAUGACGGUACUUGAGGAGGAAGCCCCGGCUAACUACGUGCCAGCAGCCGCGGUAAUACGUAGGGGGCUAGCGUUAUCCGGAUUUACUGGGCGUAAAGGGUGCGUAGGUGGUUUCUUAAGUCAGGAGUGAAAGGCUACGGCUCAACCGUAGUAAGCUCUUGAAACUGGGAAACUUGAGUGCAGGAGAGGAAAGUGGAAUUCCUAGUGUAGCGGUGAAAUGCGUAGAUAUUAGGAGGAACACCAGUAGCGAAGGCGGCUUUCUGGACUGUAACUGACACUGAGGCACGAAAGCGUGGGGAGCAAACAGGAUUAGAUACCCUGGUAGUCCACGCCGUAAACGAUGAGUAUCUAGGUGUCGGGGGUUACCCCCCUCGGUGCCGCAGCU
This 817-nucleotide ribosomal RNA is filed under the name uncultured bacterium. Its description in RNAcentral is "bacterial SSU rRNA". It matches the Rfam family "Bacterial small subunit ribosomal RNA", at positions 8 to 853 of the family's 1533-position model. The record is from RNAcentral.